Long non-coding RNA from Medicago truncatula (barrel medic), 489 nucleotides. RefSeq lists it as uncharacterized. The transcript has 2 exons. Lineage: Eukaryota; Viridiplantae; Streptophyta; Magnoliopsida; Fabales; Fabaceae. The record is from RefSeq and is a predicted model, not a curated record.
CUUUACUAAGUGUGAUAAAGGGACAAACACAACAUAAUCAUCUACUUAAGUGUUAUAUAUAUACAAUAUUUUUUUUUAUCUUUUUUUUAGUGUUACUCCUUUACUUCGUGUGAUAAAAGGUAAAAAUUUUCUGUAUAGAUGUGGCUGAUUGUCCAAAGGAUUUGUAUCCUUUACUUUAUAAGUGCAUUUACAACAAAUGUAUAGUGUUUACGAGGAUUCCGUUUCCUUUUGAUUGGAUAUAAGUAUCUCGCCGAAGAGGGUACACAAACGCCAUGCAAGGAGGAGUGAGUUCUUGCACUAGCAAAAAAUCUAUGCAACAUACCUUAUAGUUAUACCGUGAGUUGCCAUUUAAUCUUUUUAGUAGCAUCCAAUAAUUGUAUCUUUUAUUUUUUUUCUUUUUACAACUUCAUGGAUGUUGAAACUAUGACUCUACACUCAAAGAUGUUGAUAAUAAAAUGAAAUUAGGCACUAAAUAAUAUUAUAACUGAA